Mauremys reevesii (Reeves's turtle) is the source of this 409-nucleotide long non-coding RNA. RefSeq lists it as uncharacterized. The transcript has 3 exons. The record is from RefSeq and is a predicted model, not a curated record. Lineage: Eukaryota; Metazoa; Chordata; Testudines; Geoemydidae.
GGAUUCCCUCGGAGACCCCUUCUACUCGGCUUCCCACAAACUCAGUUUGAUUCCAGAUUUAAUCAUUCAGCAACUCCCAGUUCCCAUCCUCUCUUCCGGGGCCCAUAAAUCGAGACCUACUGAUCCAGCAACCACAACAUGAGCCCAACAUGCUAAAGUUACUGAGCUAAUGACAUCAGAGGCCUCUGACCAGGACAUCAGCCCAGAAAGCUUGAAGAAACUCUGGCCAACACUAGAGAAACUGGAAUUGUCUGUCUGCAGGCCUGGGAAGAAAGCACUUCAUUGGUUUGCAUUCUCUUUACAUUGAGUGGGUUAUCUUUGUAACCAUAAGGGGUAAAAAUAGAAUAAAAUAUUGCCUCUAUGAAGUCAAUGGAAUUUUGCCUCUGACUUUACUGAAGGCAAGAUUUCA